CGGAACCGCAGAGAUGUGGGUGUGCCCGAAAAGGGAACCGUAACACAGGUGCUGCAUGGCUGUCGCCAGCUCGGUGUCGUGAGAUGUUGGGUUAAGUCCCGCAACGAGCGCAACCCUUGCCAUUAGUUGCUACAUUCAGUUGGGCACUCUAAUGGGACUGCCGGUGACAAACCGGAGGAAGGUGGGGAUGACGUCAAGUCCUCAUGGCCCUUAUGGGUAGGGCUUCACACGUAAUACAAUGGUCGGUACAGAGGGCUGCCAACCCGCGAGGGGGAGCAAAUCUCAGAAAGCCGAUCGUAGUCCGGAUUGUAGUCUGCAACUCGACUGCAUGAAGCCGGAAUCGCUAGUAAUCGCGGAUCAGCACGUCGCGGUGAAUACGUUCCCGGGUCUUGUACACACCGCCCGUCACACCAUGGGAGUGGGUUUCACCAGAAGUAGUUAGCCUAACCGCAAGGAGGGCGACUACCACGGUGAGAUUCAUGACUGGGGUGAAGUCGUCGUAACAAGGUAGCCGUAA
Molecule: ribosomal RNA, 517 nt
Filed under: uncultured bacterium
Lineage: Bacteria
Description: bacterial SSU rRNA
Rfam family: Bacterial small subunit ribosomal RNA
Source: RNAcentral